RNAcentral lists this long non-coding RNA (249 nucleotides) under Oncorhynchus kisutch (coho salmon). RNAcentral describes it as "lncRNA (ENSOKIG00005016616.1)". The record is from RNAcentral. Lineage: Eukaryota; Metazoa; Chordata; Actinopteri; Salmoniformes; Salmonidae.
GCACCGGUGGGCACGCCUUCCUUUCGCAUGUACUCCAGCAGUCAUCUGGAGAUCAGGCAGAGAGCUCUGAGGCUCUUCCAGCAGGCAGCCCGCAAGGUGGUGAUUCAAUGUCGUGUGAACAACAGACUGGUCUCGUUGAGGCAGCUGACUCAAAGCUUGAAGCGCCUGUCCACAGGAGUAAGAGUUGAGGAGGAGCCCCUUCAUCCCCUGAAGAUCUCACCAGACAACGUGAUUCCUUUCACAUUCUGA